RNAcentral lists this ribosomal RNA (468 nucleotides) under uncultured bacterium. Its description in RNAcentral is "partial 16S ribosomal RNA". It matches the Rfam family "Bacterial small subunit ribosomal RNA", at positions 28 to 507 of the family's 1533-position model. The record is from RNAcentral.
GACGAACGCUGGCGGCGUGCUUAACACAUGCAAGUCGAACGGAAAGGCCCUGCUUUUGUGGGGUGCUCGAGUGGCGAACGGGUGAGUAACACGUGAGUAACCUGCCCUUGACUUUGGGAUAACUUCAGGAAACUGGGGCUAAUACCGGAUAGGAGCUCCUGCUGCAUGGUGGGGGUUGGAAAGUUUCGGCGGUUGGGGAUGGACUCGCGGCUUAUCAGCUUGUUGGUGGGGUAGUGGCUUACCAAGGCUUUGACGGGUAGCCGGCCUGAGAGGGUGACCGGCCACAUUGGGACUGAGAUACGGCCCAGACGCCUACGGUAGGCAGCAGUGGGGAAUAUUGCACAAUGGGCGGAAGCCUGAUGCAGCAGCGCCGCGUGCGGGAUGACGGCCUUCGGGUUGUAAACCGCUUUCGCCUGUGACGAAGCGUGAGUGACGGUAAUGGGUAAAGAAGCACCGGCUAACUACGUG